GACGAACGCUGGCGGCGUGCUUAACACAUGCAAGUCGAACGAUGAAGCCCAGCUUGCUGGGUGGAUUAGUGGCGAACGGGUGAGUAACACGUGGGCAACCUGCCCCAAACUCUGGGAUAACUCCUCGAAAGAGGUGCUAAUACCGGAUACGAACUAGACAGACAUCUGUACUAGUUGGAAAGUUUUUCGGUUUGGGAUGGGCCCGCGGCCUAUCAGCUUGUUGGUGAGGUAACGGCUCACCAAGGCUACGACGGGUAACCGGCCUGGGAGGGCGACCGGUCACACGGGGACUGAGACACGGACCAGACUCCUACGGGAGGCAGCAGUGGGGAAUAUUGCGGAGUGGGCGAAAGCCUGACGAAGCGACGCCGCGUGAGGGAUGAAGGUCUUCGGAUCGUAAACCUCUUUCAGUAGGGACGAAGCGAAAGUGACGGUACCUAAAGAAGAAGCACCGGCUAACUACGUGCCAGCAGCCGCCGUAA
This 482-nucleotide ribosomal RNA is filed under the name uncultured bacterium. RNAcentral's name for it is "partial 16S ribosomal RNA". It matches the Rfam family "Bacterial small subunit ribosomal RNA", at positions 28 to 523 of the family's 1533-position model. The record is from RNAcentral.